UAACAUGAUGAUAAAAAGAUUAAUGUUGCUCGAAGAUGAACUUCGAUGUGAGCGCAAAGAUUUCUCAAUAGACUACAACGGUAUCUGAUU
RNAcentral lists this small nucleolar RNA (90 nucleotides) under Eremothecium cymbalariae DBVPG#7215. Its description in RNAcentral is "Small nucleolar RNA snR79". It matches the Rfam family "Small nucleolar RNA snR79". Lineage: Eukaryota; Fungi; Ascomycota; Saccharomycetes; Saccharomycetales; Saccharomycetaceae. The record is from Rfam by way of RNAcentral.